UCACACACAGGGCCUCGCCCGCCCAGGCUGCCUGCUCCGGACGUUCCAGAGGAAACCUGGAAGUGCACAAGGCCCUGACCCCACCCCCGGCGCCUGCACCACUGAGGAAAGGCUGUGAUCACGGCCAUGCACCUGCAGCUCUGUAGGGCGGCACCUGGACCACGCGUCACCAGGGCACAUGCUGCCACCACAGCCCCGGGUGGGCAGAGAGCAGGGCCGGCCGCCCCUCACUACUCGCCAGUCUGAAAGGCAGGAGCAGCUUCCCCCAGGUCCGUCCUCCUCACCGGAAUCUCCGGGGCAGUUUUCAUACGUUUUGAACAGUCCUAAGUCAGAACCCGCAGGGCUGGGUCCAGGAAUCUGGACGUACCUUUUAUACCUUGGGCGAGUGUGAUCGCAGCUGCCAGCCCUGGUCUGCCCGCCAGCAUCUGCCACCUUUAGGAUGGGAUGGUGCACCACGCUCGUGGGGCCAGACGCCAGCCUUGCAUCCAGCUCACCUUGGCACGGCUCUUCCCACUUCUCUGCCCU
This 525-nucleotide long non-coding RNA is filed under the name Homo sapiens (human). RNAcentral describes it as "HSALNT0235267". The record is from RNAcentral. Lineage: Eukaryota; Metazoa; Chordata; Mammalia; Primates; Hominidae.